RNAcentral lists this unclassified non-coding RNA (296 nucleotides) under plant metagenome. Its description in RNAcentral is "partial contains small subunit ribosomal RNA, internal transcribed spacer 1, and 5.8S ribosomal RNA". The record is from RNAcentral.
UUUCCGUAGGUGAACCUGCGGAAGGAUCAUUAUCGAGUUUGAAAGGAGUUGAUGCCGGCCUUCCGGGUCAUGUGCUCGCUCCUGUCAGAUCCAACUCAACACCUGUGCACAUCCGAGGGCGCGAGCGGUUUGUCCCUUGCCAACGUGCCUCGCUUCCUCCGUGGGUCGAGGCUUGGAGUGGUGGAUCCUGGCGACCUCCUUCACAUCACAAACACUUGAACGUAUCCAGAACGUGUAGCAGCCCUCGUGUGGGGCAGUCUUAAUUACAACUCUCAACAACGGAUCUCUUGGCUCUC